Molecule: unclassified non-coding RNA, 358 nt
Filed under: soil metagenome
Description: partial contains 5.8S ribosomal RNA, internal transcribed spacer 2, and large subunit ribosomal RNA
Rfam family: 5.8S ribosomal RNA (bases 1-120)
Source: RNAcentral
GAUGAAGAACGUAGCGAAAUGCGAUAAGUAAUGUGAAUUGCAGAAUUCAGUGAAUCAUCGAAUCUUUGAACGCGCAUUGCGCCCGUCAGUAUUCUGGCGGGCAUGCCUGUUCGAGCGUCAUUACGCCCCUCAAGUCCCCUGUGGACUUGGUGUUGGGGAUCGGCGAGGCUGGUUUUCCAGCACAGCCGUCCCUUAAAUUAAUUGGCGGUCUCGCCGUGGCCCUCCUCUGCGCCGUAGUAAAACACUCGCAACAGGAGCCCGGCGCGGUCCACUGCCGUAAAACCCCCCAACUUUUUAUAGUUGACCUCGAAUCAGGUAGGACUACCCGCUGAACUUAAGCAUAUCAAUAAGCGGAGGA